GUGGCUAGAGUAGGGUCUGGAGAGAGCUCCCACUGUGGCGAGUCCUGUCGUUGGAUUCCCGCGGCGCCCCGUAAGGCUCCGCCCCGGCGGUGCUACCAAACCCUGUUCGAUUUUAGAAUCGUACAUUCCCAGAGGGAAUCCUAGACCCCUCAUUUUACAGUUGAGGAAACAGGCCCAAGUAGCAUGACUUGUUCGCGCCGCUAGUCGAAGGAGCAGCAGCCCCGAUCCCUUGACUCUGGGGCACUGCUUUCCCUUUAGCUCAUUUUUGGAGGAAAUGGGUGCGCCCUUGCUCGACCUUUGGUGAUUGCCGCCACAGGCCUUCCCGCCGGCUAACUCAGCGUGCCCAAGUCCCGUGACUUAGUGCCAGGACGGUGCUGUGACCCGUUAUCCCCUGUCGGGUUUUACCUCCCCCCGGGAGAGCUCAGCCCUGGAUCCCGGCGGGCGGCGGAGCCUCUCUGGAGCCCGGACGGGACAGCCCACCAGGGUCUGCUUCUGUGAGGGGCCGAGGCGUCAUUCCGCGAAGCCUUCUCCUUGCUGUUGCCAUGUGAAGAAGGAUGUGUUUGCUUCCCCUUCUGCCAUGAUUGUAAGUUUUCUGAAGCCUCUCCAGCCAUGCCAAACUCAUUUUGCACAGAGCUUGGCAGUUACAUAGUAGAUGUUGAACAAUUUCUUCUGUGUUUCAGCUGUCAAACUGUUCUGAAUGUGUGAGGAAAAGAAGCAUAAGCUGCAAUAAAAAUUUGGUUUCAAGAUAACAAAGUCAGUCCCCAAAAAUCAGUAUUGAGAGUCACUGACAUUAAAUGAUGAAGAUACGAGGAUGGUGUGGGGACCUUUACUCUUCGAAGAUGAGCUAUACAUGCCCCUGAAAAGGCUGUCUGAAGACAGGGGAAGGCUGGAGAUGGCAACUUUGGCCUCUGCCAAGUACUCGUGCUAUUUUCUGUAUGUGAUACUAUCUGUUUUGUAACUCAGAGGCAACACCACAUACCUAGCAUAAGGCUUGAACUCCCUUUGGGGUUAUCAAUUACUUACAUAGCCUUCCUCUAAGGGAAGGCUUGCAAGUGGUUCAUAUUCGACCCUUCCAUGUGAUAAGCAUUCAUGUGGGCUUCACAAUGUAACAGAGGUACACAGAGAUUCUUGUAAACAGAAAAUUUUAUAAAACUGUUAACUGAUCUCACUUUGAAGAAGUCUUACUGACUAGAUGUCAUUUAUCAGAGUAGACAGGCUUAAAAUGCAUUGCUUGUACUAGACUGUUGUAAUGCAUUUUUUUGUUUUUGCAUUGGUUUUUAAUUCAUUUAAUUGGUUUACACUCAUUUUUUUUUUUACAUUCCAUUUUUGCAUUUGUAUGCCAGUUAAAAAUUAUGAAAUGGCACAUUGUGGGAUUUUGUUUAGCUAAAUUCUAGAAAAAUUGAAAGAUACCUUUUAUUCGACUUAAGCCUGAGGUUAUUCAGCACGGUGAUCUCUGCAUUUUUGAAAGGUUGUCUCGUCGUUUAAUAAACGUAAAUAACUUAAGCACAUUGGAAGAGCUAUUAAAUGAGAGCAGGAGAUUAAAAAGACAUGAUUUCUUACUUUAUCCACCUGACAGGAUAGCUUGCAUUGGUGAUUAACCUUGCAUUGUUAAAUUCAUUUCCUAAAUAUUUAGGUAAGUAGUUGGUUUGAUCAUUAUUUGUAAAGUAUUAGUAGUUGCAUGUUGAAUUAUCAUGUUAAGAUUUUUAGUUUGUUGUUCAUGUGAUAUGAAAGAUAACAAUUCCUAAAACUGAAUGCAUGCAUGGCUUAUUCAGCUCAGGUCACAUACAAAGAGAAAUGUGACGCUGCAAUAAACAUAGCAGAGCUAUCUGGGUUUGAAGCAAAAAGGCUAUGACGUUAGGUAUAUGCACUUUACAUUGUAUGUAUCUUUUUAGUUCUAGUGAACUCAUCUGGAAUCAUGUUACAGAAAAUGAUUCUCCAGGUCCAAACACAUUUAAGUUUAAUGACUGGGACUACUCUAACAAUUGCGGCUAUCUCAUUUUGUCUCAUUGGUUCAUUAGCAUAGCACCCAUUUAAGAACAACUACUUCUAAACACAGUAAUAUUUCAGAGGCUAUAAAAUAAUAGAGAAAGAAAACUUAAAAAAUCCUUUGUUUGCAGCCAAGAAAAUGUGAGGAUCAGAUUUGUACUUGUUUUGAACAAUUGGAAACUGUCACAAUUGUUUUUAAGAUGUAAUAAAUGUAUAUAAAAUAUGGGAUUCUA
Molecule: long non-coding RNA, 2219 nt
Filed under: Homo sapiens (human)
Lineage: Eukaryota; Metazoa; Chordata; Mammalia; Primates; Hominidae
Description: EPM2A divergent transcript
Source: RNAcentral